GCCCCCAUAGUUGAAUUACAACAAAAGCUUUUCAAGCUUUAAGUUUGAGUUAGAACCUCAAUGGGAGCC
RNAcentral lists this transfer RNA (69 nucleotides) under Tripneustes kermadecensis. RNAcentral's name for it is "tRNA-Glu". It matches the Rfam family "tRNA". Rfam says of the family: Transfer RNA (tRNA) molecules are approximately 80 nucleotides in length. Their secondary structure includes four short double-helical elements and three loops (D, anti-codon, and T loops). Lineage: Eukaryota; Metazoa; Echinodermata; Echinoidea; Temnopleuroida; Toxopneustidae. The record is from RNAcentral.